RNAcentral lists this ribosomal RNA (194 nucleotides) under uncultured bacterium. Its description in RNAcentral is "partial 16S ribosomal RNA". It matches the Rfam family "Bacterial small subunit ribosomal RNA", at positions 338 to 524 of the family's 1533-position model. The record is from RNAcentral.
CCUACGGGAGGCAGCAGUGGGGAAUAUUGGACAAUGGGGGCAACCCUGAUCCAGCCAUGCCGCGUGUGUGAAGAAGGCUUUCGGGUUGUAAAGCACUUUCAGUGAGGAGGAAAAGUUAGUCGUUAAUACCGGCUAGCCUUGACGUUACUCACAGAAGAAGCACCGGCUAACUCCGUGCCAGCAGCCGCGGUAAU